UACGUAGGCAGCGAGCGUUGUUCGGAGUUACUGGGCGUAAAGGGUGUGUAGGCGGUUCUCUAAGUUUGGUGUGAAAUCUCCCGGCUCAACCGGGAGGGUGCGCCGAAAACUGGAGGGCUAGAGUGCGGGAAGGGAGAGUGGAAUUCCGUGGUGUAGCGGUGAAAUGCGUAGAUAUCAGGAGGAACACCGGUGGUGCAGACGGCUCUCUGGACCGCGACUGACGCUGAGACACGAAAGCGUGGGGAGCGAACAGG
This 254-nucleotide ribosomal RNA is filed under the name uncultured bacterium. RNAcentral's name for it is "partial 16S ribosomal RNA". It matches the Rfam family "Bacterial small subunit ribosomal RNA", at positions 524 to 776 of the family's 1533-position model. The record is from RNAcentral.